GUUUCAUUUAAAAUUUAUAUAGAAUUUUAUUUUUUAGUUAAAAAGCUAAAAUAUGAUCAAAAGACGAGAAGACCCUAUAAAUCUUAAUUAUUUAAUAAUUUUUAAUUUAUUUUGGUUUUUUUUGUUAUAAAUUUAUUAAAUAAUUUUAUUGGGGUGAUAUUAAAAUUUAAAUAACUUUUAAUAAUUUUUGUCAUUUAUUUAUGAUUAAGUGAUCCAUUAUUAGUGAUUAGAAAAUUAAGUUACUUUAGGGAUAACAGCGUAAUUUUUUUGGAGAGUUCUUAUCGAUAAAAAAGUUUGCGACCUCGAUGUUGGAUUAAGAUUCAUAUUUAAAUGUAGAAGUUUAAAUAUUAAGUCUGUUCGACUUUUUAUUCUUACAUGAUCUGAGUUCAAACCGGUGUAAGCCAGGUUGGUUUCUAUCUUUGAUUUAAUAAAAUAUUUUAGUACGAAAGGAAUUAAUAUUUAUUUUUAGGAAAUUAUUUUAUGAAU
This 486-nucleotide ribosomal RNA is filed under the name Cyrtodiopsis sp. KCADI055-14. RNAcentral describes it as "partial 16S ribosomal RNA". The stretch from base 250 to 408 matches the Rfam family "Bacterial large subunit ribosomal RNA", at positions 2473 to 2632 of the family's 2925-position model. The record is from RNAcentral. Lineage: Eukaryota; Metazoa; Arthropoda; Insecta; Diptera; Diopsidae.